This 330-nucleotide ribosomal RNA is filed under the name uncultured bacterium. RNAcentral describes it as "bacterial SSU rRNA". It matches the Rfam family "Bacterial small subunit ribosomal RNA", at positions 568 to 898 of the family's 1533-position model. The record is from RNAcentral.
UGCGCAGGCGGUUAUGUAAGACAGAUGUGAAAUGCCCGGGCUUAACCUGGGAACUGCAUUUGUGACUGCAUGGCUAGAAUCUAGCAGAGGGGGGUAGAAUUCCACGUGUAGCAGUGAAAUGCGUAGAUAUGUGGAGGAAUACCGAUGGCGAAGGCAGCCCCCUGGGCUAAGAUUGACGCUCAUGCACGAAAGCGUGGGGAGCAAACAGGAUUAGAUACCCUGGUAGUCCACGCCCUAAACGAUGUCUACUAGUUGUCGGGUCUUAAUUGACUUGGUAACGCAGCUAACGCGUGAAGUAGACCGCCUGGGGAGUACGGUCGCAAGAUUAAA